RNAcentral lists this ribosomal RNA (253 nucleotides) under uncultured bacterium. RNAcentral describes it as "partial 16S ribosomal RNA". It matches the Rfam family "Bacterial small subunit ribosomal RNA", at positions 524 to 776 of the family's 1533-position model. The record is from RNAcentral.
UACGUAGGGGGCAAGCGUUAUCCGGAUUUACUGGGUGUAAAGGGAGCGUAGACGGCGAUGCAAGUCUGAAGUGAAAGGCGGGGGCCCAACCCCCGGACUGCUUUGGAAACUGUAUAGCUGGGGUGCAGGAGAGGUAAGUGGAAUUCCUAGUGUAGCGGUGAAAUGCGUAGAUAUUAGGAGGAACACCAGUGGCGAAGGCGGCUUACUGGACUGUAACUGACGUUGAGGCUCGAAAGCGAGGGGAGCAAACAGG